RNAcentral lists this ribosomal RNA (1053 nucleotides) under Pseudarthrobacter oxydans. Its description in RNAcentral is "bacterial SSU rRNA". It matches the Rfam family "Bacterial small subunit ribosomal RNA", at positions 257 to 1320 of the family's 1533-position model. The record is from RNAcentral. Lineage: Bacteria; Bacillati; Actinomycetota; Actinomycetes; Micrococcales; Micrococcaceae.
GUAAUGGCUCACCAAGGCGACGACGGGUAGCCGGCCUGAGAGGGUGACCGGCCACACUGGGACUGAGACACGGCCCAGACUCCUACGGGAGGCAGCAGUGGGGAAUAUUGCACAAUGGGCGAAAGCCUGAUGCAGCGACGCCGCGUGAGGGAUGACGGCCUUCGGGUUGUAAACCUCUUUCAGUAGGGAAGAAGCGAAAGUGACGGUACCUGCAGAAGAAGCGCCGGCUAACUACGUGCCAGCAGCCGCGGUAAUACGUAGGGCGCAAGCGUUAUCCGGAAUUAUUGGGCGUAAAGAGCUCGUAGGCGGUUUGUCGCGUCUGCCGUGAAAGUCCGGGGCUCAACUCCGGAUCUGCGGUGGGUACGGGCAGACUAGAGUGAUGUAGGGGAGACUGGAAUUCCUGGUGUAGCGGUGAAAUGCGCAGAUAUCAGGAGGAACACCGAUGGCGAAGGCAGGUCUCUGGGCAUUAACUGACGCUGAGGAGCGAAAGCAUGGGGAGCGAACAGGAUUAGAUACCCUGGUAGUCCAUGCCGUAAACGUUGGGCACUAGGUGUGGGGGACAUUCCACGUUUUCCGCGCCGUAGCUAACGCAUUAAGUGCCCCGCCUGGGGAGUACGGCCGCAAGGCUAAAACUCAAAGGAAUUGACGGGGGCCCGCACAAGCGGCGGAGCAUGCGGAUUAAUUCGAUGCAACGCGAAGAACCUUACCAAGGCUUGACAUGAACCGGAAACACCUGGAAACAGGUGCCCCGCUUGCGGUCGGUUUACAGGUGGUGCAUGGUUGUCGUCAGCUCGUGUCGUGAGAUGUUGGGUUAAGUCCCGCAACGAGCGCAACCCUCGUUCUAUGUUGCCAGCGCGUGAUGGCGGGGACUCAUAGGAGACUGCCGGGGUCAACUCGGAGGAAGGUGGGGACGACGUCAAAUCAUCAUGCCGCGGGGUGUCUUGGGCUUCACGCAUGCUACAAUGGCCGGUACAAAGGGUUGCGAUACUGUGAGGUGGAGCUAAUCCCAAAAAGCCGGUCUCAGUUCGGAUUGGGGUCUGCAACUCGACCCCA